This 662-nucleotide long non-coding RNA is filed under the name Homo sapiens (human). Its description in RNAcentral is "non-protein coding lnc-UNC93B1-6:1". Lineage: Eukaryota; Metazoa; Chordata; Mammalia; Primates; Hominidae. The record is from RNAcentral.
CUCACUUCCAGGCCAGCUGACCUUGCCUCCCCUGCUUCAGAGAAGUGCCUGCAAUCCUGAUGGGGAAUGUAGGCAUCUGCACCCUCGAAGUCCAGCUCUGACCUCAGUCCCUUCUGACACGGGACAGACUACGCCCAAGCAAGGUUUGAUGCCUAUUUCCACCAGAAGAGGAAGCUUGGGGUGUGACUGUGGGGAGGACUCCAUCCACCUCAUCACUGGACUGCAUGGGGAGGCAGCAGAGCGGGGUCCCCUCUGUGCUUCGACUACUGCUCCUGUGGCAGGAGGCUUUGGGUGGCUCACUACUGAACACAUGUGUAUGAUACUAAAGACGGUAUUAAAAUGGAGCGACGUUUAUUUCAUCUCUUGUUUACGAUUUCACUAGGACUCAGAAACGAGAUCGGGAAGCAGAAAUAUAGUGCAAUAGUGCAACAUCUCUGAAUCCUUUUAAUCUAGAGAAGGCAUUUCAUAUUUGGGGGCUAAGGUUUCCAGUCAGAUGAGGCAAACAGCAAGAGUAAGCAGUGUUACUUGCAGGUACUUUGGUUAAUGUUGAUUUAAAUUUUCAUGAAUGUGCUGGUGAACACUGUGACCAGGCUUUUGUAGAUGGCGAUGUGUUAUAGACGGUGCUCACUCCCAAGGGACAGCAAGUGAGCAGAGAUGUACUG